Molecule: long non-coding RNA, 203 nt
Filed under: Lathyrus oleraceus (garden pea)
Lineage: Eukaryota; Viridiplantae; Streptophyta; Magnoliopsida; Fabales; Fabaceae
Description: Pisum sativum (pea) long non-coding RNA (PSAT_LNC024836)
Source: RNAcentral
UUAAUUUCAUUUUUAAUCCAAAAAAUAUGGGACUUUCACAAAAAAUAUUUAAAUAUUUUUUUCUUCCAUAUUUUGAAUUAAAAUUAUUUUUUUGUAAUUUUGGUAUUUUUCAUUAAUUAAAUGUUUUAGUGUAUCUUUUUAAUUGUUUAAAAAUACUUCUAAAAAUUGUGAAUUUUUUUGUCUAAGGUCCUUUGACCUUGUUU